CGUAAUGCGUGAAGCAUAUUCCAGGAAUAUUCCAAAGCAUAUUCAAGGAAUAUUCCAAAGCAUAUUCAAGGAAUAUUCUCUUAUUUUCUUCUAUAAAUAUCCUUUACCAGUUUAUUUCGCACGUACAAUCAUUUCGUCAGUUUCUCUGCACGAAUACCGAGAGAAGACGAACGGGUGUUCUUCGUGUUCUUCAUAUUCAAACGAGGAUUUGAAGGCGUUAUUGGAAUCCGAUGGAGGCGUAUAAAUAGUCAAAACGAAGCUCUCGACGCGUAGAAUCUAUUUUUAACAACCGUAUCAAUGCAGAUUUCACGGGGUUUGGACGAGACGGAUACGAUCGAAGACGUUCAGAAGGUCAAACGAUGUUACAAAGCGAAUAAGGAACGAAUCGAGUAAACGAAGCAGUGUGGCGAAUAGAGUAUAGCCAAAGAUGGUCUAGAGACUAUGAUAUGCAUAGAGUGUGAAAGUGGAAAGAUGAAAUUGAGAUAUGAGACUGGAAUCAGAUUUAAGGCAAGUUUUCCUAAAUCCUUCCUCAUAUAUAUAUUGCAUGUUCUGAUUAUUCUGUCAAGAUUAUGAUAUUGUUUAUACUGAAACCUUUCUCAAAUAUACCCUUACUUCUGAGCAUGAAACCCAUGAUUGUUUUCUUCUUCCAAGUUUUGAAAAUCCAAACACCUAAUUACUCUCAAUUUCUAUUACAAGUAUUCUGAUCCAUUCUUUCCAAUCCUCAAGAUAUUAAAAAUACCAGCUUUACAAAUUAAUUCAAAGUUCAGACCGUCAUUGAAGCAUGUGUUGCUCAGGGAUAGUUAGAACCUAGAAUGAACUGGGAUCUUCUUGAUUAUUCAACCCGCCAUUGUCAUGCUGGUUUAGCAGGUUAAAUUCAGUUGCUUAGCCGAUAAUGGAGGAUACUGAAUAAUUAGGAAUUUCCUGAACUAUGAUUUAUCAAAAGACAGACUAUGGUUUAUGAAAUGUUGAUUCCCAAAAGUUGAUUUGAAAUAUUUCUGUUGUUGAUAAUGAUUAUGAUUCUGUUCUGCUGAUUGAAUUGUUUAUUGAUUUCAAUUGUUAGAAUUGGAUUAGUUUUUAUAAAAUAUGUGGACCAGAUUCGUGGUCAGACCAGAUUCGUGGUCAAUUAUAGGCCAAUGUGUGCCUUGGAUCCAGUAUAGAGAACAGGGUUGUGUGCCAUGUUCGGGGUUAGUGCGUGACUGAUCAGCAGCCUAACCUUUGGUUUUUAAGUCAAAAUGUGAUGAAUCCAAUUCGACAAUUCUUCUGUAAGUUUGAAUUCUGAUUUCAAUUGCUGAUAAGAAUUGUGAAGUUUUCAAUUACAUAUCCUGAACUUGUGAACCCUGAUAAGAUAUUUCAGGACUAUUGUUGCUUAUAUACACUUGCUGAGCAUUGUUGCUCACCCUUGCUAUUCCUUUUUAACCAUUUCAGAAAAGCUUAAAGGUGAAUUGCAUAAUUGAGAUUGCGAAUAUGGCUAAGGCUAAGCGAGGAGUCAGAGUAUAGAGUAUACAGAGGACAAGUGGAAAUGUUCAGGGAGAUUGUCAAGGUUGGUUCUAGAUAGAAUUGUUGAGAUUCAGUUGUAAUCAUAAUUUAAAUAGAUUGGCAGUGAUUCUUCUCAUCGAAGAUGAUCUGAGGUUGUAAGACAUUGUUUAUUUAUAGUGGUUGAUUCUAAUUUCAA
Daucus carota subsp. sativus is the source of this 1672-nucleotide long non-coding RNA. RefSeq lists it as uncharacterized. The transcript is spliced from 2 exons. Lineage: Eukaryota; Viridiplantae; Streptophyta; Magnoliopsida; Apiales; Apiaceae. The record is from RefSeq and is a predicted model, not a curated record.